UACGUAGGGUGCAAGCGUUGUCCGGAAUUAUUGGGCGUAAAGAGCUCGUAGGCGGUCUGUCGCGUCGAAUGUGAAAAUCCGGGGCUCAACCCCGGACCUGCAUUCGAUACGGGCAGACUAGAGUUCGGUAGGGGAGUCUGGAAUUCCUGGUGUAGCGGUGAAAUGCGCAGAUAUCAGGAGGAACACCGGUGGCGAAGGCGGGUCUCGUGGGCCGAUGACUGACGCUGGAGGAGCGAAAGCGUGGGGAGCGAACAGG
This 256-nucleotide ribosomal RNA is filed under the name uncultured bacterium. RNAcentral's name for it is "partial 16S ribosomal RNA". It matches the Rfam family "Bacterial small subunit ribosomal RNA", at positions 524 to 776 of the family's 1533-position model. The record is from RNAcentral.